CAGAGGCCAGCAUCCAAGCUGGUGCCGGAGACGGUGAGUGGGAAGAGUCUGAAGUCAAACUGAAAAAGUCCAAGAUCAAAAUGCCCAAGUUUAAUUUUUCCAAACCUAAAGGGAAAGGUGGUGUCACUGGCUCACCAGAAGCAUCCAUUUCUGGGUCCAAAGGUGACCUGAAAAGUUCAAAGGCCAGCCUGGGCUCUCUGGAAGGAGAGGCAGAGGCCGAAGCCUCUUCACCGAAAGGCAAAUUCUCCUUAUUUAAAAGUAAGAAGCCACGGCACCGCUCAAAUUCAUUCAGUGAUGAAAGAGAGUUCUCUGGACCUUCCACCCCGACGGGGACUCUGGAGUUUGAAGAACACACCACAGCCAUCAGCACUGGAAUGCAAAGACCAGAACAAACAGAAGGAAGCCAGCAGCCAAGCCGGGGCAGUUUCAGUCUCCACCCCAAAUGCAGGGCUGUAGAAGCGGCCAGGAAGAAAACCACCCCCUCUUAAGGUUGUUUUUGUGACCGUUCUUUGGAGCAUUGUUCUAAAAAUGGGAAAUUACAUAUUGCUGCGCCAAGGGCAACAAACACCUGCAGUUAAAGGAAUACCUUCCAUGAGGCGGCUUUUCGGAGCAUGCACGUUUAUAGCUCCAGACAGGCCAGACCGAGGGCUGCCGCAUAAGCCCUGCUUGGUGCAUUUCUUUACUUGCAAGGGGACAGAGUGUGGGCUUAGGUUUGGGACUAGAGGGGGCUUUGGCAACUGUGGUGCUCAGGUGAUUAUCUUUCGCUCAUUUAUCCAAUAAACAUUUAUCAAGC
RNAcentral lists this small RNA (793 nucleotides) under Pongo abelii (Sumatran orangutan). Its description in RNAcentral is "processed transcript". The record is from RNAcentral. Lineage: Eukaryota; Metazoa; Chordata; Mammalia; Primates; Hominidae.